UCUCUCUCUCUCUCUCUCUCUCUCUGUGUGUGUGUGUGUGUGUGUGUGUGUCUGUGUGUGUGUGUAAAGGGAAUUUAUUUGAAUGGCUUACAGGCCGUUGUCAGCUAGUCCAACAAUGGCUGCCUAUCAACAGAAGGGCCAGGGAUCUCGCAGUUGUUCAGCCCACCAGGCUGGAUGUCUCAGCUGGUCUUCAGUCUACACUGGAAUCCUGAGGAAGUCAGCUCUAAUUGCCAGUGAAGGAAUGGACUUGCUAGUGAGAAUGAGAUCAAGCAGGCAAAGAACAAGCACGCUUCCUUCUUCCAUGUCCUUUAUAUAGGCUGCCAGCAGAAGGUGCGGCCUAGAUUAAAGGCACCGAUGGUUCCUCACAAGGUCCAGACCAAACUAUGACACCAGGAUGCUCACACAAGAUGAUAGCAGCAACUGGAAGGAUCUCGCAACUCCUGAUAUGUCUACAAGCCUCAAGUAAUGGACCUGGAACUGUGGCCGAGGCCUCUCUCUCUGCUGUGUGAUUUGUCAGGGUGGUGUUUCCUCUACGGCACUUCCCCAACGGCCUCCUGUUUCUGCCUCCCCUUCAGCACCGUCAUCACUCACCGAUUACAUCGGGAGAGCAUGCUUGCCCUCAUCUGACCCAAGGAUGUGCUGGAGCCCUUCUGACUUUAUGUGGAAACUUUCCCUCACCAUCCUAACUCCAGCCCCCUCCCCCUCCUGCCUUUCCCCCAGCUCUUCUUCCCAGCUCCAGUUACUGGGAUUCUAUUGUCAUUGCUAGGCACCUCUGGUCCCUCCUUUCCCCAGCUUCUGCCACUGAGGCCCCAGACUGACCUGUAGAAAGACUCACAGUCUUCCAUGGAGCACUUUUCUCUCUGGCUCCCUUAAGGUUUUCCAACUCUGGGAAGCUCCUGUGGAUGGGGUGGUUCCCCUUCCUGCUGCACCCAGAGCUGGCCUGGACCACGUGGUGACCAUUGGUGCCUGACAAAGUGCUGGCAUUUUGACUUUGUGGAUCACAGUUCUCCAGCACCCUUUAACUUUCAUUUUUAGUGAUUCUCACUCUGUGUUCCCUUAUACCUUUUCCUCUGGGAAAUUUUGUGCAGGCUUUGAAAGACAAAAAUGUAUAAAAUGGGGGCUGGAGAGAUGGCUCAGAGCUUAAGAGCACUAGCUUCUCUUCCAGAGGUCAUGAGUUCAAUUC
Peromyscus maniculatus bairdii (prairie deer mouse) is the source of this 1183-nucleotide non-coding RNA. Lineage: Eukaryota; Metazoa; Chordata; Mammalia; Rodentia; Cricetidae. The record is from RefSeq and is a predicted model, not a curated record.